ACACGAAGUCACUAUCAUUUAUGUGUUAUUCCAUAUUUACCCCCAUUCAAAAUGAAAGUUAGUCACGGCGAAAUGUUCAUUCUGUUCGAUAGGGCUGUUUACAAAUAAAUUCAAACCGAUUAAUCCGGCCCGAUCCAAUUCGAUUUAGCCGAUUUUUCUUCACCAUCGGCCGGUUUAGGGUUAAAAAGAUGAAUAAAUCGAAUCAAACCAAACCAUCAUUUGCAACUUUGCAUUAGGAAUAUCUCUCCAUAAGGAUCAAGGCUGUAAAGGCUGUUCUAAUAGGCUUUGCCACGGAAUUUGAACUCUCUCUAUACGCACACCAUUCGCGCAAAAGAAGGACGCACCACGCAUCCUUAACUUCAUAUGACCUCUUGAAGUGUGCAGGCUAUUGGAAACGGUGUCUCCUAACAACGUUGUUACAUUAUUUCGAAAAUGUCACGAGUUUUCAACACUUCCCACUCCUCUCUUGCUCGUAGGGUUGUCUCCUCUCUCUCUCCCUUCCAACCGGUGGCGACCAACAACCAUCACCGGUGACUGGUGGUCAACCUCAGCAGGGGAGCUAACUGCUAUGGCCCGAUGGUAUUUCUGCAAUAUUGGCAAUGAGAGAAAUGAUAUCAACAUAUCUACCCUUUUUCCAUUUCAUUUCAUCUAAUCCUAUAGACCAAGUGUGGCGGAAGAAGGGUUGAGUCUCUCUCUCUAUACCUGUUUUCUUAACAAGUUGCAUGACGAUUGAAGGGCUGAUGGUGGAAGGGAUACCUUAUAGUUUAUUUUCUUCUUUGUCUCCUUUUUUGUAUUUUUAGUUAGAAUUGAGACUGUAAAUCAAAGAUUCAAAGUUAAAGGGUAUAUUAGGUUUUAGAGCUCUUACUCAGUUCAAUCAAGUCUUAUUAACAAUAUCUGCUCCACAUCUACUUCACGAUGAUCAUUUCUCUGGCCUUUCUUCUAUAGGAUGAAAGAGUGAAUAGUAUAAACUUGAGGGUGGUGGUUGUGGAAGAGUCACUUACAGGGAAGAGGUUAGCUCAGAGACGGAUGCUUGGAGAAUGACAGUGGUUAGAAUUUCAGUAUUUGGGACAAUCCUAUUUAAAUUGGGGGAUACCGAAAGUUCCAAUAAUCGUAGUGGCAACGAAAACCAAGGGAGAUAGAUACACAUAAAAAUUAGGAUUGUCUUCAGUGAUUGGGAAUGUAUUAAUUAAGUCCCUUUUUUAUUUUUCA
Molecule: non-coding RNA, 1209 nt
Organism: Nelumbo nucifera (sacred lotus)
Lineage: Eukaryota; Viridiplantae; Streptophyta; Magnoliopsida; Proteales; Nelumbonaceae
Source: RefSeq, a predicted model, not a curated record